CCUACGGGUGGCAGCAGUGAGGAAUAUUGGUCAAUGGGCGAGAGCCUGAACCAGCCAAGUCGCGUGAGGGAGUACUGCCCUAUGGGUUGUAAACCUCUUUUGUCGGGGAGCAAAAGCCGGACGUGUCCGGCUGUGAGAGUACCCGAAGAAAAAGCAUCGGCUAACUCCGUGCCAGCAGCCGCGGUAAUAAGGAGGAUGCGAGCGUUAUCCGGAUUUAUUGGGUUUAAAGGGUGCGCAGGCGGAUUUUUAAGUCAGCGGUAAAAUCGUGGGGCUCAACCCCAUCCAGCCGUUGAAACUGGGGAUCUAGAGUGUGCGAGAGGUAUGCGGAAUGCGUGGUGUAGCGGUGAAAUGCAUAGAUAUCACGCAGAACCCCGAUUGCGAAGGCAGCAUACCGGUGCACAACUGACGCUCAGGCACGAAAGCGUGGGUAUCGAACAGGAUUAGAUACCCUUGUAGUC
RNAcentral lists this ribosomal RNA (458 nucleotides) under uncultured bacterium. Its description in RNAcentral is "partial 16S ribosomal RNA". It matches the Rfam family "Bacterial small subunit ribosomal RNA", at positions 338 to 795 of the family's 1533-position model. The record is from RNAcentral.